UUGUAUUUUAAAAUAGUCUCCAAAGCUCCAAGAAUUCAAAAGCUCCAAUUCAUGUACUAACCAAAGCUCUUCUUUCAUUUUUUUUUUUUUUUUUUUUUUUUUUUUCACAAUUCAAAUAAUCCAAAAUAAUCAAAUACCUUCCGCCUCAUGCUUUUCACAUUGAGUUCACCAAAUAUGUCAUAAUACAUAAAGUCUUACUUGAGAAUGCUCUGGACACUUAGCUAUGGAAGAUAGAAUGGAAAUUGCAACAACAAAAUCUUAAUUCUAAUAGAACACUAACAAUGCUAAACAAGCUUUAAUCAAAUUUAGAAAAACCUCAAAGGAAUUCCAAAGAAACAAUAAGAAAUCUUAAAGAAAUAUUAGAAUAAUUACAAAUAUAUCUCAAAUACAUCUCAAUUCAAUCUUAAUUUAAUCCUUGAUGAAAUGUUAUUGGACUUCAUUCAAACUUUAGGCCAAAAACUAAUUAUAUCUUAAAUGCUAAAUAAAUUCAACUAAAAUCCUAAACCUUAAAUCAAAUCUUGAUCAAAUCCUAAUCAAAUUCUAAUCAUAAAUCAAAUCCUAACCAAUACUAAAUCAAACCUUAUACCCUAAACCAAAUCCUAAUCAAAUCCUAACCCUAAAUCCAACUCUAAACCAAAUCCUAAACUCUAAAUCAAAUCCUAAACUCUAAAUCAAAUCCUAACUAAAUCUUAAUCCUAAAUCAAAUCUUGACCAAAUCCUAAACCCUAAACCAAACCUUGACCAAAUCCUAAACCCUAAACCAAACCCUAACCAAAUCCUAACCAAAUCCUAAUCCUAAAUCAAAUCCUAAGCAAACCAUAAUCCUAAUCCUAAAUCCUAAAUUAAAUCCUAAACUCUAAACCGAACCUUAAUUCUAAAUCAAAUCCUAAUCCUAAAUCAAAUAUUCACCAAAUCUUCA
This 919-nucleotide long non-coding RNA is filed under the name Physcomitrium patens. RNAcentral describes it as "long non-coding RNA (PPAT_LNC010315)". The record is from RNAcentral. Lineage: Eukaryota; Viridiplantae; Streptophyta; Bryopsida; Funariales; Funariaceae.